UCCACCGCGACUCAACAUGGCGGCCUCCAUGUCAGCGUCAAGGGUGUUCGCCCUCACGCCGCUUCGGGGCAUUCUGUGUGCGAAAAGGCAGCCGAUGGCGUUACCCGUGUGCCCACGGGGGCUACAGACAAGCGCAGUGUGUCUCAAGAGCCAAGCGGGCCGGGUUCGUGUGGGGAAGGGGGAUAAGCCCGUGACGUACGAGCAGGCGAACCCACCACACAAGAUUGCACACCGCAAGGGAUGGCUCUCCCAGCACACGGCCAACUUGGACGGCGAGGUGGGGGCGGCAGAGCGCUCGAUUGAGGACGUGUUCAUCCGCCGCUUCAUGUACGGCACAUUUCACGGCUGCCUGUCGACCGAGGUGGUGGUGAAGAGGCGCGGAAAUGUGCUGGUGGUGUGCGCUGUGCUGAUAACGAGGCUGCCACCCAUGCGCUACUACUUCCUGAUCGGCUACACCGAGACGCUACUCUCAUUCCUCUACAAGUGCCCCGUCAAGCUGGAAGUGCAGGCAGUCCCACAGAAGGUCGUCUACAAAUACCUGUGAAGGGAGUCAACAAAGACACGAAGACACCUGCUAGAGCGGCUGUGUUGAACAAAAGUCAGUUCUCUUUGGUCACAUGGCUGAGCGUAGGCCUCGGCAAGCUUGGAGAGGCCACCAGCAGCAGAUUGACAACGGAUGAAGAUGAAGCUUCCAAUCAAACUCCUCACGAACAUAUUUUUGGUUGCAUCUUCCUUCAAGUGAAACCCAACAAAAAUGCAUUACUGGCUCAUUCAUAUAUUGACUUUAAGAUAAAAAAUAAAAUUUUAUAACCAACUUGACAAGUUUAUGUUUGAGUUUUUUUUCAUUAAAGGGUUUAAGGCUCGGUAUGAACUUGCAGUGUAUAUGGACAAGGAAAAUUAGUGCAGGGAAAUACUAGAAACUGUGAAAUCAGCUUCAACCACAUGGCGAGGUCUAAAUCAGCAAGACUCGGUUGUGCAGUGGGGAUAAUGAAUUGUGGAAUUCAAUGCAAACCAUAAAAAGUGUACAAAUUUGAGCUCAUUUAUAGUGACAGAUAAAUAGAAAAAUCAGCCGGGUCUUGAAAGGGCUGUGUAAUGCACAUCAUUACAAAUUUGUUUAAUGUAGCAGGGUCAAAAUACAGAGGAAUCUGGACAGCGCAGUCAAGAUGCGACUAGAUGGAAGGUGACAAAGAAUGAACAGGACAGAGUCAACCUAUGAACAUUUUACACAAGAGCAUCGAAUAAAAAUCUACAAAUGUUAUAUACAGUACAUACAAGUAUGUCAUUGUUAUAUAUAGAGCUAUGCAACAGGAGUGAAAGGUUUACUAAAAUUUCAAUUGAAAAUGUCUUUAGAUACAAACAGCAGAAGUUCAAAUUGCAUAUUAUAAUUGGAGAGUUUGUGGAAAGUGAAAUAACCUAUUUGAAGAGUUUAGCAUUGGAAGUUUGAACUUUAAUGCAGUUUUACUAAGGUGGGCUAUAAUAUAGAUCAAUGUGCAUUGUACAUCAUGUGCCGUCCCUCCACAUUGCCCGAAAUGAAAAUAAACAAAUGCAUUUGUUGAAGUGUUGAAAUAAUCUCGAUCCGUUGAGACUUCUCUGAUCAAAUGUUUUCUAGCAAUGUGCUGCUUUGGUUGCCUUUUUCAGCUGGCAGUAGUUGCAAUAUAACAGAUGCCGUUGUUGGAUUGAGAUGCCGGGCUUUAAAAAAAAAAGUAUGCACAAUUAUAUCCCACUUAUACUAUUGGCAGUGUCAAACGUCAUAAGAAAUUUCCUUGUGGAACUCCUUCAGUUGGCAGAGCAUAUCAAAAAGCCAUGGAAUUGGACACUACUCGAGUAACAUAAAUAGGCUUCACACAUCCACUUAGAUUAUGCUUCUUGAAUCUUGUGUGGAUGAGAAAUUGAACCGACAUUCUUUGUAAACGGAUUUCUGCAAUUGAAUGUUUUUUGUGCAUUGUUGACAAUGCCGAGACCUCCCAACUUGUUGGACUUUGGG
Lethenteron reissneri (Far Eastern brook lamprey) is the source of this 1984-nucleotide RNA transcript. It is a transcript of the gene named mitochondrial ribosomal protein S24, with no coding region annotated. The record is from RefSeq and is a predicted model, not a curated record. Lineage: Eukaryota; Metazoa; Chordata; Hyperoartia; Petromyzontiformes; Petromyzontidae.